Lotus japonicus is the source of this 2083-nucleotide long non-coding RNA. RefSeq lists it as uncharacterized. Lineage: Eukaryota; Viridiplantae; Streptophyta; Magnoliopsida; Fabales; Fabaceae. The transcript is spliced from 8 exons. The record is from RefSeq and is a predicted model, not a curated record.
AACUAUUUGAGUUUUGCCUUCUUGGACUUGGGAGAUCAUACCUUAGUGGAGACUUGUGCAAGACUUUUGCACAUUGUCUUUGCUUUCACUACUACAAAAAUGACAUUUUACCACGCCUCAAUUGCCACGGUUAUAGGCGGAACCGUGGCAAAAGCUCAAUUGCCACGGUUAUAAGCGGAACCGUGGUAAUAGGGUAUAAUAUUUGAUUAUUUUUUUUAGGGACCGUGACAAUAGAAAUUUUCUCCAAUUUUUUUGAGAAGAAAACCCUAAAGCUUUGCAAACCCUCUCCCUCCCACGCUCUAUCCCACUCUCCACACUCCAUCAACCUGCCGACGAAGCUUCAAUCUGUUCCCGUCCCUCUCUCGUUUCCCUGUCCUUCCCUCCCACUCUUCAUCGACCUGUCCCUCUCUCCCACCAGCGAAUUUAGUGCGGAUAAUUCUGAGACAGAGCGAGCCGCAGAGGAAGCUUCGUGGAGAAAAGAGGAGGCUGCAACUGCGGCUGAGCGAGCGGCAGUUGAACGAUGUUGACGGAGAGGCGAGAGAAGGACGUAACAGAAAUCUAUUUUUGAUUUUAAGCUCCGAUCUGUUCUGUUCACGCCAUUCACCUAGGGUUGCAGUCCCUCUCGACGCUUGGGCCUUCUCUUCCAUCGAAGUCGCACCACACCUUGCAACUUCGUCACCCACUCCGACAAAGUCUUCGUUCUCCGUCCAAGUCGCUGUUCUCUAUCAGUCGUUCUCCAUCACUAGGGUUCUCUGUCACGCUCUCUCUGCCGUGUCGUUACCGUCCUUCAUUGAUUGUUGAGUCAUUUUAGGUAUCCAUUUUCUUUCUCUAUCUCUAUAUCUAACGCUUAGAUGUUCUGUUUCUUUAUAUGUUUAUCAGCAGUUUUGUUAUUUUGUUUUUCUUAGCCUGCACCACUUACCUCACUGUUAAUGUUGGAAAUACUGAACCGUAAGAUUGCAUAGAGAAGUAUGAGUUCUGGGUUUAGUCUUUAAUUGGUGUUUGCAGUUCGUGUCUAUAAAUAUAACUAAGCUUCAGCAAUUCAGAAAUGGAAUAGAUGACGGAGAGAAUUGCUAUUGGGGGAGGAUAUGUCUGGUGGAGGAAAGGGUGUUUCAUCAGCUCUGGCACUGUCAAAUGCAUUCCCAAACCUUGCUGCUGCUGUUUUUGGUGAACAAAAGCGCCUAGAGUCGAUGCUGCCCGAGAGGAGAGCCAGAUGGAGAAAGGAAAUUGAUUGGCUUCUAUUAGUGACAAAUUAUGUUGUUGAGAUGGUCCUACUAAACAAAAAUCAAAAGAUGGAUCCAGCAUGGAGAUUAUGACAACGCGACAACGAACAGAUCUCCAUAUGAAUAUCCCUGCCUUAAGAAACCUUGACAACAUGCUUAUUGAUUGUCCAGAUAACUUCAAAGACCAGAAUGAGUUCUACUAUGUAUCACAAGAUGCAGAUGAUGCAGAUAAAGAUAGUUCAAAGAGAAAAAAUGAUGACAAGUGGUCCUACACCUAAGGUUCCUGCAGAGGGUUCAUCUGAUGUGGUGAUGGCCAUAAAUGCACAGACCCUAUCGGAGAUGGAGAUCCCUGAAAGCUAUAUUGAAUCCCUACCCAAGAAUGGUGCGUUAAUUAUGACCAGAAAGACAAGAGCCAAAAAAGUUUUUCUUCAAUGACUUGUAGAGGAGUGAUUCAUAUGUGAUUUGAUUACAGAAUGGUAAAUGUUUAUAUACAGCAGAGCUGUGUGUUGCCAAGCAGUGUUUAGUUUCUUCAAACUCCAUAUUUGUCUUCUGUUGUUCUAGCACCUGCCUUCUUCAAACUCUCAUGAAGGCUAGGCUAUGGAAGGACUACAAAUUUUUAAUGGUCUGGAGUGUGAGAUAGCUUGCAGUUCUUCGAAGGUGUCAUAUGUUUUAGAUACCGACAAUGUCUUAUAUCGAACGAGAAGUAAAAGAAAGGUAGCAAAGUCUUCGAAUAUUAGUCCAAGCAGAGCUCCACGGUUCCAUGUCACAUAAUAAUAUGUAAAUAGACGUAAUUAGUGAGGUAGAUGACAUAUUUUCAAUUCAUUUUUGUCACUAGUCCAAGCUGCUACAUUGUUGAGGUUACU